RNAcentral lists this ribosomal RNA (253 nucleotides) under uncultured bacterium. RNAcentral's name for it is "partial 16S ribosomal RNA". It matches the Rfam family "Bacterial small subunit ribosomal RNA", at positions 524 to 776 of the family's 1533-position model. The record is from RNAcentral.
UACGGGGGGGGCAAGCGUUGUUCGGAAUUACUGGGCUUAAAGGGCUCGUAGGUGGCCAACUAAGUCAGACGUGAAAUCCCUCGGCUUAACCGGGGAACUGCGUCUGAUACUGGAUGGCUUGAGUUUGGGAGAGGGACGCGGAAUUCCAGGUGUAGCGGUGAAAUGCGUAGAUAUCUGGAGGAACACCGGUGGCGAAGGCGGCGUCCUGGACCAACACUGACACUGAGGAGCGAAAGCCAGGGGAGCAAACGGG